RNAcentral lists this ribosomal RNA (495 nucleotides) under uncultured bacterium. RNAcentral's name for it is "partial 16S ribosomal RNA". It matches the Rfam family "Bacterial small subunit ribosomal RNA", at positions 28 to 507 of the family's 1533-position model. The record is from RNAcentral.
GACGAACGCUGGCGGCGUGCCUAAUACAUGCAAGUAGAACGCUGAAGGAGGAGCUUGCUUCUCUGGAUGAGUUGCGAACGGGUGAGUAACGCGUAGGUAACCUGCCUGGUAGCGGGGGAUAACUAUUGGAAACGAUAGUUAAUACCGCAUAAUAGUAGAUGUUGCAUGACAUUUGCUUAAAAGGUGCAAUUGCAUCACUACCAGAUGGACCUGCGUUGUAUUAGCUAGUUGGUGGGGUAACGGCUCACCAAGGCGACGAUACAUAGCCGACCUGAGAGGGUGAUCGGCCACACUGGGACUGAGACACGGCCCAGACUCCUACGGGAGGCAGCAGGAGGGAAUCUUCGGCAAUGGACGGAAGUCUGACCGAGCAACGCCGCGUGAGUGAAGAAGGUUGUCGGAUCGUAAAGCUCUGUUGUAAGAGAAGAACGAGUGUGAGAGUGGAAAGUUCACACUGUGACGGUAUCUUACCAGAAAGGGACGGCUAACUACGUG